UGCAGUCGACGCUUCUUUUUCACCGGAGCUUGCUCCACCGGAAAAAGAGGAGUGGCGAACGGGUGGGUAACACGUGGGUAACCUGCCCAUCAGAAGGGGAUAACACUUGAAAACAGGUGCUAAUACCGUAUAACAAUCGAAACCGCAUGGUUUCGUUUUGAAAGGCGCUUUACGGUGCCGCUGAUGGAUGGACCCGCGGUGCAUUAGCUAGUUGGUGAGGUAACGGCUCACCAAGGCCACGAUGCAUAGCCGACCUGAGAGGGUGAUCGGCCACAUUGGGACUGAGACACGGCCCAAACUCCUACGGGAGGCAGCAGUAGGGAAUCUUCGGCAAUGGACGAAAGUCUGACCGAGCAACGCCGCGUGAGUGAAGAAGGUUUUCGGAUCGUAAAACUCUGUUGUUAGAGAAGAACAAGGGUGAGAGUAACUGUUCACCCCUUGACGGUAUCUAACCAGAAAGCCACGGCUAACUACGUGCCAGCAGCCGCGGUAAUACGUAGGUGGCAAGCGUUGUCCGGAUUUAUUGGGCGUAAAGCGAGCGCAGGCGGUUUCUUAAGUCUGAUGUGAAAGCCCCCGGCUCAACCGGGGAGGGUCAUUGGAAACUGGGAGACUUGAGUGCAGAAGAGGAGAGUGGAAUUCCAUGUGUAGCGGUGAAUGCGUAGAUAUAUGGAGGAACACAGUGGCGAGGCGGCUCUCUGGCUGAACUGACCUGAGCUCGAAGCG
This 723-nucleotide ribosomal RNA is filed under the name uncultured bacterium. RNAcentral describes it as "bacterial SSU rRNA". It matches the Rfam family "Bacterial small subunit ribosomal RNA", at positions 56 to 761 of the family's 1533-position model. The record is from RNAcentral.